Molecule: ribosomal RNA, 763 nt
Filed under: Arothron manilensis (narrow-lined puffer)
Lineage: Eukaryota; Metazoa; Chordata; Actinopteri; Tetraodontiformes; Tetraodontidae
Description: partial 12S ribosomal RNA
Rfam family: Bacterial small subunit ribosomal RNA
Source: RNAcentral
ACUAACAGCUCUAGCCAGACUUACACAUGCAAGUAUCCGCACCCCCGUGAGAAUGCCCUACACACCCCGCCCGGGAAUUAGGAGCCGGUAUCAGGCACACCCUAGCCCAUGACACCUUGCUUAGCCACGCCCCCAAGGGAACUCAGCAGUGAUAAACAUUAAGCCAUAAGUGAAAACUUGACUUAGUCACGGCUAGGGCCGGUAAAACUCGUGCCAGCCACCGCGGUUAUACGAGAGGCCCAAGUUGUUAGCCCCCGGCGUAAAGAGUGGUUAAAAACACAACAUUAAACUGAGGCCGAACAUCCUCAAGGCAGUUAUACGCUCCCGAGGACAUGAAGAACAAUUACGAAAGUAGCCUCACCCCAUUUGAACCCACGAAAGCUAGGACACAAACUGGGAUUAGAUACCCCACUAUGCCUAGCCCUAAACAACGAUACCAUUAUUCCCCUAUCCGCCCGGGUACUACGAGCAUUAGCUUAAAACCCAAAGGACUUGGCGGUGCUUUAAAACCAUCUAGAGGAGCCUGUUCUAGAACCGAUAACCCCCGUUAAACCUCACCCCUUCUUGUUUAAUCCGCCUAUAUACCACCGUCGUCAGCCUACCCUGUGAAGGACCAAUAGUAGGCAAAGUUGGCACAGCCCAAAACGUCAGGUCGAGGUGUAGCGUAUGAAGGGGGAAGAAAUGGGCUACAUUCUCUACUCAGAGAACCACGAAUGACACAUUGAAACAUGUGUCUGAAGGAGGAUUUAGCAGUAAGCAAAGA